UGGGGAAUAUUGGACAAUGGGGGCAACCCUGAUCCAGCAAUGCCGCGUGUGUGAAGAAGGCCUUCGGGUUGUAAAGCACUUUAGGCUGGGAGGAAGAUGUGUAGUUUAAGAGAUGACACGUUUGACAGUACCAGCAGAAUAAGCACCGGCUAACUCUGUGCCAGCAGCCGCGGUAAUACAGAGGGUGCGAGCGUUAAUCGGAGUUACUGGGCGUAAAGGGCGCGUAGGCGGAUUUAUAAGUGAGAUGUGAAAUCCCUGGGCUUAACCUAGGAACUGCAUUUUAUACUGUAAGUCUGGAGUACUGUAGAGGGUAGUGGAAUUUCCGGUGUAGCGGUGAAAUGCGUAGAGAUCGGAAGGAACACCAGUGGCGAAGGCGGCUACCUGGACAGAUACUGACGCUGAAGCGCGAGAGCGUGGGGAGCAAACAGGAUUAGAUACCCCCGUAGUCC
RNAcentral lists this ribosomal RNA (449 nucleotides) under uncultured bacterium. RNAcentral's name for it is "bacterial SSU rRNA". It matches the Rfam family "Bacterial small subunit ribosomal RNA", at positions 355 to 796 of the family's 1533-position model. The record is from RNAcentral.